RNAcentral lists this long non-coding RNA (453 nucleotides) under Homo sapiens (human). Its description in RNAcentral is "HSALNT0397076". The record is from RNAcentral. Lineage: Eukaryota; Metazoa; Chordata; Mammalia; Primates; Hominidae.
GCUACUGAAAGCAGCCACCCUCAACCAGAAGCACUGGACUUAGGAAAGUUUGAAACCAAAGAAUCUCCAGCUCUUAGAGCCACAGAGCACUUGGCAAGAAACAGGCUUCUCAGCAGACUACCAUCAAGUGUAGAAGCAGACAAUUCAGGCACAAUAACCAUUUAUUCAAAGAUGCCAUCUAAUGCACUAUGCCACUAAGUACUGUGGCUGGACAGUGAUUUUAAGUGUAACAAAUUAUCUUCACUUUGAAAAGAGCUUAAGAGAGAGAAAACAAAUAUUACAUCUUAAACAGAGGCAUGAAUCAAACCAACUUAUGAACGGUGAAAGCAACUUAUCAAAAUGUCUUCGGACAUAUCAAGACUGACUUAAACCAUGUUCUGUGCCCUUUCUUUGUUGAGAAGAUAAACUGGAAAAUGCAAGCUAUUGUCCUUUGCCAAGGAUCGAAGAUCAAAA